UACAGAGGUCUCAAGCGUUGUUCGGAUUCAUUGGGCGUAAAGGGUGCGUAGGCGGCGCGGUAAGUCGGGUGUGAAAUCUCGGAGCUUAACUCCGAAACUGCAUUCGAUACUGCCGUGCUUGAGGACUGGAGAGGAGACUGGAAUUUACGGUGUAGCGGUGAAAUGCGUAGAUAUCGGGAGGAACAUCAGUGGCGAAGGCGGCUACCUGGCCCAAUACUGACACUCAGGUGCGACAGCGUGGGGAGCAAACAGG
This 253-nucleotide ribosomal RNA is filed under the name uncultured bacterium. RNAcentral describes it as "partial 16S ribosomal RNA". It matches the Rfam family "Bacterial small subunit ribosomal RNA", at positions 524 to 776 of the family's 1533-position model. The record is from RNAcentral.